Molecule: ribosomal RNA, 253 nt
Filed under: uncultured bacterium
Lineage: Bacteria
Description: partial 16S ribosomal RNA
Rfam family: Bacterial small subunit ribosomal RNA
Source: RNAcentral
UACGUAGGGGGCUAGCGUUGUCCGGAAUCAUUGGGCGUAAAGCGCGCGUAGGCGGCCAGAUAAGUCCGGUGUGAAAGUCACAGGCUCAACCUGUGAAUGCCGCUGGAAACUGUCUGGCUAGAGUCCGGAAGGGGCGAGUGGAAUUCCUGGUGGUAGCGGUGAAAUGCGCAGAUAUCAGGAGGAACACCAAUGGCGAAGGCAGCUCGCUGGAACGGUACUGACGCUGAGGCGCGAAGCGUGGGGAGCGAACAGG